This 492-nucleotide ribosomal RNA is filed under the name Fusarium sp. 2 FLS-2010. Its description in RNAcentral is "eukaryotic LSU rRNA". The stretch from base 174 to 327 matches the Rfam family "5.8S ribosomal RNA". The record is from RNAcentral. Lineage: Eukaryota; Fungi; Ascomycota; Sordariomycetes; Hypocreales; Nectriaceae.
GUAGUGACCUGCGGAGGGAUCAUUACCGAGUUUACAACUCCCAAACCCCUGUGAACAUACCAAUUGUUGCCUCGGCGGAUCAGCCCGCUCCCGGUAAAACGGGACGGCCCGCCAGAGGACCCCUAAACUCUGUUUCUAUAUGUAACUUCUGAGUAAAACCAUAAAUAAAUCAAAACUUUCAACAACGGAUCUCUUGGUUCUGGCAUCGAUGAAGAACGCAGCAAAAUGCGAUAAGUAAUGUGAAUUGCAGAAUUCAGUGAAUCAUCGAAUCUUUGAACGCACAUUGCGCCCGCCAGUAUUCUGGCGGGCAUGCCUGUUCGAGCGUCAUUUCAACCCUCAAGCCCAGCUUGGUGUUGGGACUCGCGAGUUAAAUCGCGUUCCCCAAAUUGAUUGGCGGUCACGUCGAGCUUCCAUAGCGUAGUAGUAAAACCCUCGUUACUGGUAAUCGUCGCGGCCACGCCGUUAAACCCCAACUUCUGAAUGUUGACCUCG